GCAGGGAUGAGAUAAUUGAUUUAUUACUUAUUAAAUCGCUACUGUGGAAGCAUGUUACUGUGCUUCGGCGUGCUUGGCCAAUUUGCUCAGAAACGGUGGCUCUGUAAGCUAAUUGUUGGUUUGCCUAGACCGUGUUGUAUAUCUGCAAAUUUUUUGGUUAUUAAAAGGAAAAAUAUAUUUUCUUUUGAUGUGUGUUCCCUGCUUGCAGUUGUAUCACGCAAUCUUUGAUUUGCUACUUUUACCAUUGCCCUUAUUUCUUCAUUUUGGUUGACGGUCCCUAAUCUCCUGCAAAAUGAAGAAAAAAUGUGACCGUGGUCACUCACCAGUCAGACACUUUUGCUGGUGGAUACAUCGCGAGACUGCUACUACAGGGUCAGCGAGUUUUGAGGGCCACAGGGCCAUGACUCUUCUCAAGGAAAAAGUAUUGAAGGGCAUAGUGCUAAGGCGGACGGAAAUAUGCUGAGAUGUAGAUCUUGCUCUUCCACCAAAGAAGAAGCCAGCCAUUUCAUCGAAGAGUGAAAUUUUGGGAAAGAAUAUCACGUAAAUGCAUGAAUGAUGUUGGGGUACUGACAUUUCAUGCAACACAUGUACAUGGAACAAUGUAUUAGGUAAACGCUGUAUGGAUGCAUUUCCCAUAGCUUUGAGAAGGCAAAGAUCCUCUCCUUGCUUGAAAAUUACUGGUAUGUUAGUUAUAUCUCAGUAUUAUCCACUGACGAAGUUAUGUUGUUGAUUUUCAGAUGGUAUUCGAGCCGUACUUUCUUUGGGUUAUAGAGCCAUUGCCAUCACACGGGUCCUCGAUGCCACUGAUUGGGCGAGAACCGAGAAGCUUACCGCGGCGAAGAGUGCUGGCUUCGCCGACGGUGAAAAUGUUGACCACCUUACAAAGGAAACAAUAGUCCUCCCAGUCAGUCACCCUUGGUCAAGGGAAAGGAGAUCAUUGUUCUUUCUUCUGACGAUGAAGACUACUACUGGGAAAGCUGGGUCUAACGACUAGAAGGGCACAAGGAAAAUGAUUAUAUGUAUAUAUCAUGUAGUCCAGUAUCGUUCCUUACAACUGCGCUUUCGGGAUCUAUUUCGUGCAGGCAAAAUCGGACAACUUGGUCGUAUAACAAUGACUUACACUUAAGUUAUUGCGAUGGCAGUCAGACCGGCCACAUUUGAUAGUUGGCUCCAAAGCAUACAUAUAAUGGAUUGCCUCUACUUAGGCGUUUCCUAAAAUACAUUUUGUCUGUAAAUAAUGUGUUCUCUAAUCAGUCUGUACUGUUUGACCGCCAUUGUUCGGGGAUAAUGAUGGAACACAUUGGUGAUUGCA
Molecule: long non-coding RNA, 1312 nt
Organism: Lolium perenne
Lineage: Eukaryota; Viridiplantae; Streptophyta; Magnoliopsida; Poales; Poaceae
Source: RefSeq, a predicted model, not a curated record